GGCACGGUAGCCAAGUGGUAAGGCAGGGGACUGCAAAUCCCCGAUCCCGGGUUCGAUUCCCGGUCGUGCCU
RNAcentral lists this transfer RNA (71 nucleotides) under Parcubacteria group bacterium QH_9_35_7. Its description in RNAcentral is "tRNA-Cys". It matches the Rfam family "tRNA". From Rfam's summary of the family: Transfer RNA (tRNA) molecules are approximately 80 nucleotides in length. RNAcentral also lists the same sequence under 1 other name. The record is from RNAcentral.